AAGAAGUUUGGUCACUUCAUUGUUGACAAUUGGUCAAACAAGGAAAUGAAGUCAUUAUAAGAAAAUAUAGCCAGAGGAGAUUCUGAUGAUGAACGUGUGUUAUUAAUGGCUUAUGAGUCUGAUAAUGCAUCUCUGGAAGACUGGUGGUACAUCAACAUUGGUUAUUCAAAUCACCUGACUGAAAAUAAGAAAUGGGUGAUUGAGU
Molecule: long non-coding RNA, 205 nt
Filed under: Lathyrus oleraceus (garden pea)
Lineage: Eukaryota; Viridiplantae; Streptophyta; Magnoliopsida; Fabales; Fabaceae
Description: Pisum sativum (pea) long non-coding RNA (PSAT_LNC019003)
Source: RNAcentral